AAAUACAGAUGUCGACGCCGAACAACAAAAGUCCAAUUUCAUAUUGCCACAGGUUGAUGCCAACGAAACACAUCAUACAGUGGUAAAUACAGAUGUCAACGCCGAACAACAAACGUCCAAUUUCAAAGCCUUUACACUUUUACAUGUUGAUGCCAAUGGCGAUUGAAUAUUGGCGAUUGAAAUUGAUAAAACUUUAUAUUGUUUUUUACUUAAUAUACUUAUGUACUUUAUA
Aphis gossypii (cotton aphid) is the source of this 232-nucleotide long non-coding RNA. RefSeq lists it as uncharacterized. The transcript is spliced from 2 exons. The record is from RefSeq and is a predicted model, not a curated record. Lineage: Eukaryota; Metazoa; Arthropoda; Insecta; Hemiptera; Aphididae.